Molecule: non-coding RNA, 206 nt
Organism: Pelobates cultripes (western spadefoot toad)
Lineage: Eukaryota; Metazoa; Chordata; Amphibia; Anura; Pelobatidae
Source: the annotation of a GenBank genome assembly
GUUGACAUGAGCAAAAGUUGUAAUGUAUUUAUCACCUGCCUAAUAAUGGUUGUACCGCAGUGCUAACAACUGACCACACGUCCAGUAAGCAACCGGGAGGCAGCCAUACACAUGUCAGCACAGCUUGGUGGCUGACCUGGGGGAACAGACCACAUGGCAGGAAAUUGCCUGUUGAUUAGAUAGGGAAAUGCAUAGCUAGGUUAGGG